Molecule: long non-coding RNA, 1498 nt
Filed under: Cyanistes caeruleus (blue tit)
Lineage: Eukaryota; Metazoa; Chordata; Aves; Passeriformes; Paridae
Description: lncRNA (ENSCCEG00000004086.1)
Source: RNAcentral
CUCCAAGGACCCCCAAAUCCUCCUUGGGAACCCCAAAUCCUCCCCGGGAACCCCAAAUUCGGGUUUGGGAACUCAAAAAACGCCCCCCUGGGGAUGUCCGUGGUGGGCAGCCCCAAAUCCACCCCAAAUCCUCCUUGGGUACCCCAAAAUCCUCCUUGGAAACCCGAAAUCUUCAUUGGGAACCCCAAAUUCGGGUUUGGGACCCCAAAUUCGGGUUUGGGGCCUCAAAAAUACUCCUCGAGGCCAAAUUUUGGGGUCUCAAAGCCGAAUUUUGGGGGGAUCGAGACCCCCAAACCCCUCCCAGACCCCAAAUUUUGGGGGGAUCGAGACCCCCAAACCCUCCCCAAAUCCCCCAAAUUUCCCAGGUUUGAUUUUUAAACCUCCCCGACCCCAAAAAAAGCUCCCAAAAAUCCCCCCAGGACCCCCUGGGAGGCUCCAAACCUUCCCCAAACCCCAAAUUUUGGGGGUUUUGAGACCCCCAAAUCCUUUCCCGACACCCCAAAAUAUUUUGGGGUGUCCCCAGGGGUCGUUUUCAACGACAUCUACUCGGCCUCCAAGUUCGCCGUGGAGGGGCUGUGUGAGAGCCUGGCGGUGCAGCUGCUGCAGUUCAACGUCUUCGUGUCUCUGGUGGAGCCGGGCCCGGUGAACACCGAGUUCGAGCGCAAGGUCCUGCAGGAGGUGGAAAAAUCGGAAUUCCCGGGAACGGAUCCCGAGACUCUGCGCUAUUUCCGUGAGGUUUACCUGCCCGCCAGCCGCCAGGUGUUCGACACCUUCGGCCAGAGCCCCGAGGAGGUGGCGCAGGUGAGGAUUGGGGAAAUUUGGGGAAUUUUUUUGGAAUUUUUUGGGAAUUUUUUGGGGAAUUUUUAGGAAUUUUUUUGAAUUUUUUUGUGAUUUUUUUGCGAUUUUUUUGGGUGAUUUUUGGGGUAAUUUUGGUGCUCACCUGUCCUGGCCUCACCUGGAAUUCUGAAGUCGUGCAGGUGAGGAUUGGGGAAAUUUGGGGAAUUUUUGGGAAUUUUUUGGGAAUUUUUUGGGAAUUUUUUUGGGAUUUUUUUGAAUUUUUUUGUGAUUUUUUUGCGAUUUUUUUGGGAUGAUUUUUGGGGUGAUUUUGGUGCUCACCUGUCCUGGCCUCACCUGGAAUUCUAAAUUUGGACAGGUGAGGAUUUGGGGGAAAUUUUGGGAUUUUUAGGGAUUUUUUUGGGGGGAUUUUUUGGGAAUUUUUGGGAAAUUUUUUGGGACUUUUUUGAAUUUUUUUGUGAUUUUUUUUGUGAUUUUCUGGGGGGAUUUUUCUGGUGAUUUUGGGGAUUUUUUUGGGGAGAUUUUUGGAGUUUUUUGGGGUACCCGGGGUAGAAUUUUUGGGGGAUUUUUGGGGUCCCCUUCCCCUGUGCCCCCCCCCAACAAUUGGAGACCCCAGACCCAAAUCCUGGGUGGAAUUUUGAGGUUUUUUGAUCCGUUUUGGGGCAUUUUGACCAUUUCUGGGCUGUUUUUUCGGGAUUUUUGG